GGGGGCCAGGGGGGGGGGGGCGCCAAACCAGAAAACCCUGUUCUGGCCUGUUCGAGAACAUGAAAGCUACACCCGCGGUGCGUGACACUUUAUAAGCUCAUUGUUGUCUGAAGUUCUCUCAGAAUCCGCGUGCUGCCCAGUAAGCACUCGGCCCGUAUGUUACAUUUGACUCCACGGUGCAGAAGUCUCUCUCAUUUACAGUACCAGGUACUGUAGGCAUUUCUCUCUGAUAUAGCAGCAAUAAAAGCUAGAAAAAUAGUUUUAAACUGCUGGAAAGGCAGCUAACAUCUACUCAAUUCUCCUUAUUAGCGUAGUCCUUAUAAAGUGUACUGGACAUUAAGGAUAAAGUUAACAUGUACCGCUUUUAACUUUUAUAGAGAUGUUAUUUGUUUUUUUUAUUGGCGAGGAUUAUUAAUCAAUCAGUGCAUUAAGCUAUCGAGUCGUGUUCCCAGAGAGGAUUUUUUUGGUCCGAUGUGAGUUUUUUGAUUGUAGCGUGAUCAAUCUGUGGAAUGUCAGACUGAUUACGGUCCGGGAUCUGAAAUCCCACUAACAAACCGUUAAGCCGAGUCUGCCGGUUUCAAGUGCACUUGCGUUAGUGGAAGCCGAGAAAUCAAGUCCUUUUGCUCUUAUGGCAGUUCCAUAACAAGUUUUGGAACCAUCAAAAAGCCAAACAAUGUAUAGAAAAUAGUGAAAGAAAGUUAGUGAGUUGCUACUAUGAUUUCCUCUUUGAUCUCUGGAUUUGGUGAUUGUUAAUCCACCAGUUCUUCACACCAUGUAUUCACGUAACCGGAUUGUGUUGGUCCAAAAAACCUUAACUUGGCUCGAGCAACAUUGGUGCUUUUUUGUUGUUGUUGUUGUUGAUUCUACCCAAAAGUAGAGCACUUCUGCAUGUAGCACUUGGCAAUAACCGUCACCUCUCUGUCUGUUAGCAUUAUGGAUAUGUUAGGUUUCAUAAUAAACAAAAAACCAGGCUUAGCAAUGUAGAAACCCGCUGAACGCAGACAGACAGGCGGGCGUGUUGAUCUGUCUGAACCGGUGCUGUCUUUGUGUCUGAGCCUUGCCGGGCUGCUUCUACUGACCUACAUCCAGACCCGUGUUCCCUAAUCAUCAUCCAAUGUUCUCUCUCUUCUCUACUGUGUAUCUGGUUGAACACAGGUGUCUUUUUUUUUUUUGUAAUACCAGAUAUACUAUUUUCCUAUUUGCAAAAAAUAAAAAAAGCCAAAAAUGAAAAUGCUUCGCUUUGCUGUCAUUUGAUUUGAUGCUUCCUGAAGACAACAGUUACCGUGGUUACCGGAGCAGAAUAAGCUAAUUGUCAAUUAACCUAUAUACUUGUUUUGGGAAAACCGAAUUAUUUUGCACAAUUAAAUGAGUAAACCGUGGGUCUGAAUGCAUUUCAUGUGCCAAGUUUCUGUCUGAUUGUCGCAGAGUAAUGAAUUGUGGGUAAUCAGGCAAUGUCCACAGAAAUACAAGCUGGAUUCAAAUUGUCAAACUUGCCACGCAAGUAGUCUAAGCGGCCGCCAUGAUAUGUUUGAAUUCUCUAAUGCGAAGGAAAGGAGCUGCAACGCUUCCUUAAUUAGCUCCCUUAGCAUAGAAACCACUAGACCAUCCUUUACCAAAGGAAAGGAGAUAAUUCCGUCCCACGAUUCCUUGCGGCGGCAAUAUUUAAAUAGUGACGCAUCAUUCAGCCUCACGAGAAACGCAGAUCAUGUGAGUAGCAUUACUCCUUUAUGUUGCAGCCUUGUUAAUAAAGUAAUUGUUUAAACCUGGUUGUUUGUCAUCUGCAUGACUGAUGCCUUCGUUCAAGUAAAUUCAUUUUUCAUUGUAUAGCCCAAAAUCGCAAAAUACAAAUUUG
This is a long non-coding RNA of Gasterosteus aculeatus aculeatus (three-spined stickleback), 1852 nucleotides long. The record is from Ensembl. Lineage: Eukaryota; Metazoa; Chordata; Actinopteri; Perciformes; Gasterosteidae.